Molecule: long non-coding RNA, 437 nt
Organism: Leopardus geoffroyi (Geoffroy's cat)
Lineage: Eukaryota; Metazoa; Chordata; Mammalia; Carnivora; Felidae
Exons: 2
Source: RefSeq, a predicted model, not a curated record
GAGCUAGCAGCUUCCAACAUGUAACCCCUGCUCGGCUUCACCAGUCUGCCCUCUGCACCAUCAAAGCCUCUCUAGACCAUGAUCGUGGAGUGGACUGUCUGUGGACCAUCAUGGGUUCCUGUGGCAACAGCUCUAGAGGUUCUCUUGGGGCUGGCACGCCCCAGCUCCUCCCAUCUGGGCAGAUGCCGGACUCCCAAGCCCGCCUUGGGAGGGAUUACCGACCCCUCAUCUAUGGUCCACCUUGAAGCCUUUCUCCUGGCCAUGGCCUCCCUGGGGGACUGUGGCUGUCCUAGGACCUGUGCUGGGUCAUUGUACGUGGCCUCCCCCACCGCCCCCAGAGAUUCCUUCACACAUGGACGUGGGGUGUGCCGGCAGGACUAGGAGGAGGCGUCUGCCCUGUCAGUACAAUGGAAAAUAAAGUCCUCUGCCGUUUGUCA